Molecule: long non-coding RNA, 4643 nt
Organism: Homo sapiens (human)
Lineage: Eukaryota; Metazoa; Chordata; Mammalia; Primates; Hominidae
Exons: 2
Source: RefSeq, a predicted model, not a curated record
AUUACUCUGCAUCUAUUGGAGGUGCUUUAUUAUUUUCAUUUUAUUAAUUUUUUUAAAUGAUCAGGCUUUAUUACCUGUUCUGUUACAAUGAGUUUUAAACAAAUUUGUACACCCACAUGUCAUCCAUCACGCAAAUUAAGAUAAAGAACAUCCCCCUCACCCUCAUGCCUGUUUUUAGACAGACUCCCACCCCUCCUUCACUGGACGAAGGCGCCUCAGAUGUGUAGUACAAUUAUGGCAUUAUCUUCCUCAACUUGAAAACUUUGCUGUCACCACUGCUAUCAUCAGGGCUUAAUUUUGCCUUCUCUUGAGCUACCUAUAACUGGAAUUACACUACAUAUGCAUUUUUUUGUAUUUAUCUUAUUUCAAUAGUUUUGGGGGAACAGGUGGUGUUUGGUUGCAUGGAAAAGUUCUUCAGUGACGAUUUCUGAGUUUUGGUGCAUCCAUCAGCUGAGCAGUGUACACUGCACCCAGUGUGCAGUCUUUUAUCCCUCACCCCCUCCUGUCCUUCCCCUGGAGUCCCAAAGUCCAUUACAUCAUUCUUAUGCCUUUGCUUCCUCAUAACUUAGCUCCUAUGCACUCUGCAAAUUUAAGACAGCUGCACAAUACUUAGGACAUGCCUCUGCUCCUUCUGCCUUAAAGACUGCUAAUUCUCCGUAAUGCGCCUCUGGCUGGCAGCAGUACUUGAACACUGGGGCUUAAUCCCCCCUUGGUGUUAAUGCUUCAGACUAAGGCCAGGUCAGUUGUGUUCUGAUCCCAUGCUGCCCCCUCUUCUGAGGCUGCUGUGGAUGGAUCACGAUGGCGGCAUGGGAGUGAGGAUCAAUGGUGGCCUCUUGGUGCCCAUUUGCUACUUCUGGCUUCCAGUUUAGGCAUAUGCGUUCCUAGCCCACUAUCACUGCCAACAACUAUUACCCACACUGGCAGUGAGACCAUCAGAGCCUGGCCACGCUGUUCAGGGCAGUCUUUGUACCUGGUAGCUGCAAAGCGCCAUGAUGUCAGAAACAGAAUCUGUCUACUUGCACCUAGAAAACCCCUGGAUAUGGAAUAGUUCUCAAUAAAAAUGAUGUGACUGAAUGCAGAGCAGAAUGCAGUGCUGGUGACGAGCAUGCAGGCUGUGGGCACGUCGGCACUGGACAAGGGACUCCAGUUUACCAGGGACCUUAAAACAGAGGGAAAGACAACUGUAUGAGAGGCAGAUGUCCCACAUCCGGCACCUGACACAUUUUAAUCUUCAACUAGGCCAGACUUCACUAAAACUUAGUGCAACAAAGGUUUCCGGAAUGUCAUGCCCUAAAUAUUUAGUCAUCUAAAAAACAGAACAAAACAGGAAAAAACUCUACUUCUUCAGAAAACACAAAUUUUUACUAAGAAGUUUGUGUACUUUUAAAAUAUUCACUCAAGAGUUAAAGAGAAAAAGAAAAAAAAAACCCUCAAAGUAUUAGGGAGGCAGGGCACAGUGGCUCACACUUGUAAUCCCAGCACUUUGGGAGGCCAAGGCGGGAGGAUAACUUGAGCCUAUGUAGUUGAAGACCAACCUGGGCAACACUGUGAGACCCCCGUCUCUAAAAAGAAAGUGCUAGAGAAUGUUCAUAUUAUACAAUGUCUCCCAAAGAAGUGGAGUGGGUUACUGAAAUGUGAGCUGAAAACAGCACACUCUGCCUCACUCAGGAGAUAAGCGGUGAAAGCAGGCAGUUCUGGAGAUGUGCUAUUGAGUAAAGUUACUCAUAUCAGAGAGCCACAGAAAUAGGAUCCUUUCCUGAAAAUCUUAUUCCUUGGAACAGUUAUUUUUCUUACUUUGAAUGUGUCAUAUUUCUGUUAUUUUUCACUCAUUUACCCAGCCUCCCAACAAUUCAUAUCCAAUAACCAUUGUCCACCCAUUCUUCCAUGUGGUAACUGCUUACUGAGUGUUUUUGUCCCAGGAACUAUGUCAGGUAUUUGGUAAAUCAAGACACAAUCUCCACCCUCUCUUAAAGGUCACCCUGUCACAUACCAGAUUUAUGUAGUGGUGAUUUCGCUGUAAGCUUGUCACUCCCUAAGCUUGUGACAGAUUAAAAUAUGUUCAUCUAUCAAUGUGGACAUAUGAGAACCCAUUGGUUCUACCAUCAUUAUUCUGUACCAAUUGUUAACCAAUGAGCAUUCUCCUGGAUUUUCUUCUAUUUCAAUUCUUUUUUUUUUUUAAGAAAGUUCUUUAUUUUUAUUAAUAUAUUUAUUUAUUUGAGACAGUCUUGCUCUGCCGCCUACGCUGGAGUAUAGUGGCGCCAUCUAGGCUCAUUGCAACCUCCGCCUCCCGGGUUCAAGUGAUUCUCGUGCCUCAGCCUCCUGAAUAGCUUAAACUAUAGGCGUGCGCCACGACGCCUGGCUAAUUUUUGUAAUUUUCACAGAGACAGGGUUUCACCGUGUUGGCCAGGCUGGUCUCGAACUCCUGAGCUCAAGUGAUUCGCCUGCCUCGGCCUCUCAAAGUGCUGGGAUUAUGGGCGUGAGCCACCGUGCCUGGCCUGGCUAUUGCGUUCUUUAAUCUAAAAGGUUUAUUUUGAUUUGCAAGCACACCCAAAAGGGAUGACAUCUGCAAUAAUCCCUCUGUUGCCAGGUGUGGUCGCUCAUGCCUACAGUCCCAGCACUCUGGGAGGCCAAGGCAGGAGGACUGCUUGAGCCCAGGGGUUCGAGACCAGCCUGGACAAUGGGGCAAAACCCCAUUCUCCACACACACACAAAAAAAACCACAAAAAUUAGCCAGAUGUGGUGGCUUCAGACUAUAGUCUCAGUUAUUAGGGAGGCUGAGGUGAGAGGAUUGACUGAGCCCAGGAAGUCAAGUCUGCAGUGAGCCACGAUUGCACCAUUGUACUCACUCCAGCUUGGGCAACACAGCAAGACCCUAUCUCGAAAAAAAUCCUUCUCUCAAGUUUAAUUUGGAUUACCAAGUAGGAGAGGAGGCUUGGGUCAAUAUUCCCCAUGAAAGCAAAGGUGAUGACAGGGUCACAGGCGAGCUGAGUUAAUCUAUUUAAUGAUAUCUGAUAGUUUUCAAUAAUUCAGCUCCCAGCUGAUAGACAAAUGUUACAAACAACUCCCUAACCAUGGCGAGGGGAUUUAUCUGAGCACAUUUGGAAUUUAGGAUCACUUAAAAGGGGAAAUAAAUAACAGUCCGCUUUUCACUGCUGGCCUCCACGUGGCAAUAAUUUACCAGCAUUCCUUGAGUCCCAGCAGCUUUGCAGCUCUCGGCCUUUAAUCUAGAAGCCAAGCUCUGGCUCAAAGCCACGCCUCUAAUGGAUGAAUCAGCAAAAUGAAUUGGCUGUCAACUGUGUCCUCCAGCUAUUCCAGCUCGCCUGUCAGAAGCAGCAUGUAGCAGGCUGCUGGGUAAAACUAACCUUUUCCAAAUUUGUCAGGGAAAUGAUUCAAGGCAAUCUAUCGGUCUUGCCACUUUGUGAAAGCCACUGGGGAACCAAAUGUGCUAAGAGUCCUCCCUGUUUCCCUGGAGGUGAGUGGGAGCAGUUCCCUCACAUAAGAGUCUCAAACACUCCGGCUUCACUGUGCCCAAGAACAGCACGGUCCGGGGUGGUCCAGUCUGAUCCCAACCGGCCCACCCGGGGCAUCCGGUGGAAGUCUUCGCCGGAGGAUCCGAAGGCAGCAUCAACGCGGUUGUCUCUUGACACUGCACACAGCAUAGCAUUUAAUCUUCGGAUGUUCUAGUCACCACACAAAUAAAGAGACUGAGCAUCGGAGAAACUAAACAGCUUGCCUGAGGUCUUGUAGAACUGCCUGGAAAAGGAAAAGCUGGAAAAAUUGUUUAUCCAUGGGGGGGAAAAAAAAAGAAAUUGGAUUCUUAGUCACACCAUGCCGAAAAAUUCACUCCAGAUGGAUGAAGAGCUGAAAUGUCAAAAGCAAACUCUGAGAAUUUGAAAAGGAAAUAUAAGUGAGUAUCUUUCUGAGCUUGAAGUAGGGAAGAAUUUACAAAGAUAGAAAAAAGGACAGGCAUAAAAGAAAAGAUCAAUAAGUUUGGCUACAUUAAUAUUAAAGCCUUUGUCCAUCAGAAGACACUUUAAAGAGAAGAAAGACAAUCUAUAAACUGGAAGAAGAUAUCUGUAAGACAUUCAACUGACAGGAUUAGCACUAGAAUAUAUAAAAAUAGCCACAAACUAGUGAGGAAACAACUGCAGAAAAGUGGGCACAAGGCAUGAGAAGCACGGUCACCGCACAGAAGGGAGGUGUGUGAGGCCAGUGGACAUAUGCAGAGAUGCUCGGCCACAGACAAAGGCAAAUCAUGACUAUGAUGAGACAUGAUUCUAUACCUACUGCGUUGGCAAAAAUUAUAAAAAACAUUGAUAAUACAACUAUUGGGAAGGUGUGGAGCAACAGGAUCCCCAGUGGUUGUACGACCAUUUUGGAAAACAAGUUAGUGUUCUCACUUAAAGAUGAUCAUUCUCACUUCCUAUGACCCUGCAAUUUCACUCACGAAUAAUAAGAGAUCAAUACAAUAGUUUCCAAAAAAAAAAAACUGUUCAUAAUAGCUAAAAAGAAAGAGAAAGAGGGCUCCAAAUCCUUAUCCUUGGGUAAAUGGACAAAUCUGCAGUAUAUUCACAAAAUGGAAUAUUGUCUAAGAGAAAAUAUGAGUGAACUACAGCUACGCAGAAUAAAAUGGAUGAAUCUCA